UGGGGUUGUGGGUCAGUGGUAGAGCACUCACCUAACACAUGUGAGGGCCUGGAUUCGAUCCUCAGCACCACAA
RNAcentral lists this transfer RNA (73 nucleotides) under Marmota monax (woodchuck). RNAcentral's name for it is "tRNA.Val". The record is from RNAcentral. Lineage: Eukaryota; Metazoa; Chordata; Mammalia; Rodentia; Sciuridae.